This 7089-nucleotide long non-coding RNA is filed under the name Triticum aestivum (bread wheat). RNAcentral describes it as "long non-coding RNA (TAES_LNC008728)". Lineage: Eukaryota; Viridiplantae; Streptophyta; Magnoliopsida; Poales; Poaceae. The record is from RNAcentral.
UUCUAUUUGGUUUGAUGAAAUUAAUUCGCCUUUGGUCUCUUUUGUGGUGUCUCCGGAACUUGGAUUGAAUCAGGUCAUGUUGCUUUCUGGUCUCUAUCAGAUGGGCCCGUGGUUGCUUUGUGUCUUUUGAUAUGGUAUCAAAUCAUGACCUGUGAUGCGCUGUGGCGUAUGAAGGCGAUUAUUCCAUCAUCAAUCAACUCAGAGAUUACAACUGGCAAGAGAUCAUUUUUGGAGAGCAUAACCUGGCAAGAGGACACGAUGAGUGUGCACGCAGUUCCUCCUAUUUCUUUGAGGAAAUCACCGAGCAGGCUUGUACAUAUUUUAUGAAUGCAUUGCCUGAAGCUUAUGGCAUCUUGUUUGCUGGGAAAUCUGGAGAGCGGAAUCUGCUCCCCGUCUCAAGCCAUCUCCGUCAUCACAGACGAGGCCACCCACUGGAACCAACCUGGUGGCUCCAUUCUCUUUGAUCCUGGCUGAGUGCGUUUGCACCAGUGUUUGUACAGAAAAGGUUGUUCCUCAUGGUGUAGGCAUCCAGUGUCUACCUUUUGUCUUCCCCUUCCGUUUCUCUUUUGUUCGGUUUUGCAGUUGUGCUUGGCCAUCCUGGCCGAGAUCAAUGGAAUCUUAGCAGCUCUCCUGCUGACAUAAAAAGAAUGUAGCGAUGGAAAAAGGUUUGUACAUAUCAUGCGACUGAACUGAUGGAAGGGCAGUGCAAUGUUUUUGAUGCUUGCACUUGCCCCUGUAGAAAAUCAAUGUGUGCAUACUUGUAAUUGCAAUGAUACAGGGGUGUAUUAUAAGGUUUGAGCCCAGCUCAUAUGGUGGACCUGGGUUUUGGUCAUUUUAACUUGUUCAACAAGGUAUGUGCAAUAUUGCUGGUUUACUAGCAUAUUUUUUUACCGUGUUGUCUACUUACAAUGGCGAGUAGCAUUUUUUUGUCCCCUUGACAGAGUCGUUCAUUUCCUUUGAUUAGUCGCAGCAGGAGCCACAAAGUCAGCUAAAAACAAAACAAGAUAAAAAAUUGUGAGUUGUAAGUUGUAACCAGCUAAGCCAUCAGCAGAGCAUCCCAUGGUUCCAUAAUGCGAAAACCAGCUCACCACACCACCGAACACAUGUUGAGCAAUCAGCACAAAGGGGGACCCAAAAGGCAACAAGACAACUGCCAGCGCUCCAUCUAUCUCUCCCAACAGCUGAUAAUUUAACCCUAACCAAACAGUAGCCAGCGAAGCGGCCGGCCAGAAGGAUUACAGCUACAAACCUUUGUUUCCAAGCCAAAGUCUCAAGUCACUACAUCUAACAAAGAAAAUAUCCAAAGUCUCUAACUCCAAGUACUAGUGCUAUAUAUAACCCCCCAAAUGAUCUCUCCUACUUCAUCCAAGAUCACAAGCCUGACAACAUCUCCAGUUCCCUCCCAGCAUCGGAGUCAUCUUUGCUUGUUCAUUGCAGCAGCAUCCGUCGAGGAAGCAAAUGGCGGUUACUCUGAAGCUCAGGAUCCUCGCCGUGGCGGCAGCCGCCGCCGUCAUGGUCGGCACGGUCUCCGCGGCCGAUGGACCAGCUCCCGCGCCUGCCUCUGGCGCAUCGGCUGCUGCCCCGGCUGUCGCCAUGGCGUCCCUGACCGCGCUCGUCUUCGGCUACUUCUUCUGAGGCCAUGUACUCGUGCGCGCAGUUAUUUGGGAUUUUUCUUUGGUUCGUCUCGUGUUCAUACAUGAUAUGAGUACAUAUUGUAAAUUACAUCUUCUUUUCUAUUUCUAAUAGAAAAAUUGUUGGGUACACACAUUUGUUUAUUUGAUAAAGGAUGCUUUUUAUAAUGUAAGAUGAAAGGGAUACAAACACAAAAUGUUUACCCUUAAAAAACCAACACAAUAUGUACACACACCAUCCUAUUCCUGUUCUCUCUUCUCUCUCUUACACCCCCACUAUUGCUCACACGCCUCUGCAUUAUUAGUAUACACACAAUCAAUACCUACACACAAACAAAUGGUCACACCAGCAAAUAUAUAGCAAAAGUCAUAUAAGAUAGAAGAUAUGUGUAAAUGAAGGAAAUUAAGAAUAUAAAAGAAAAGGAGCAACGAUGAACCACGCCGAGUAGCUGCUAAUCCAACAAAUAUGAUGCAAAUGCACACAAUCCAGACAUGGACAGAAUAACCACACUCAAGGAUCUUCCCAAUGCCCUCAACCAGCUCUCUGCCCUUGAUGCAAGUAACUGGAACCUGUUGAACUCGGGCCUUCAUUGUUCUAAUCCCGAAGAAAGAGAACGCUCUGCGCCCUGCUGAUUAUCGCCCAAUAAGUCUCUCUCACAGUGUUGCCAAGAUUUUGGGAAAGCUGCUUGCUAAUAGACUGGCACCUGCUAUGCAACAUCUUAUCUCUCUCAGUCAAAGUGCUUUUAUCAAGGGAAGAUCGAUCCAAGAUAAUUUUUUGUAUGUUCAGAAUCUCAUCCAGAGUUUGCACCGGGCCAAGAAAGGGGCAAUCUUUCUGAAACUGGAUAUAGCUAAAGCUUUUGACUCCAUUCGUUGGGAUUACCUGCUUGAGGUGCUUUGUACCAUGGGUUUUGGACAGAGAUUUCGGGAUUUGAUUGCAAUUGUGCUGAGCUCAACCUCCUCCAGAGUGCUCCUCAAUGGCGACCCGGGGCUCCCUUUCUACCACCGUUGUGGCUUGCGCCAAGGCGAUCCCCUGUCGCCUUUCCUUUUCUUGCUCGCUAUUGAGCCACUGCAGCGUAUCUUUGCGUCUGCAACGGACACUGGGAUUCUCAAGCCUAUUGCUCAUAAUCUCGCCUCCAUCAGAGUCAGCCUCUAUGCCGAUGAUGCCGCGCUUUUUCUGAACCCGUGCAAGCAUGAGAUGGCGGCCACUCAAGCAAUUCUAAAUGCUUUUGGGAGGAUCUCUGGGCUCUUCACCAAUUUCAGCAAAUCAUCGGCCUUCCCUAUCUGCUGUGAUGAACUGACAAUCAGUGAAGCACUUUUGGAUUUUGCAGGAACUGUUGACUCCUUCCCCUGCAAGUAUCUCGGGCUCCCUCUCAGCCUUGGCAAGCUAAGGCGCGCUGACCUUCAAUUGUUGAUUGAUAAAAUCGCUGCCAAGUUGGCAGGUUGGAAAGGGAAAUUGUUGAACAAAGCGGGAAGGCUGACGCUGAUCAACUCUGUCCUAACCUCUUUCACCACCUAUAUUUUGACCUUGUUCGCUCCCAGCAAAUGGCUGAUCAAGAGGAUUGAUAAACUCAGGAGAAGUUUCCUUUGGAAAGGCUGUGAGGAAGAAGCCAAAGGUGGAAGCUGUGCAGUAAACUGGCAGGUCGUUUGCUCACCAAAGAAGUAUGGUGGUCUUGGAAUAAAAAAUCUAUCCUUUUUCAGUAGGGCUCUCAGGCUGCGGUGGGCAUGGUUCGCGUGGCAAAGUCUGCCUCGGCCAUGGCUAGGCAUGAAGCUUCCUUGCUCGGACGUCGACAUGAAGCUCUUCAAUGCCUCGACCAUCAUCCACCUUGGCAAUGGGCAGACUGCAAGUUUCUGGCACUCAAAGUGGCUGAGCGGAGCCGCCCCCAAGGACCUUGCACCCUCCCUGUUCAAACUGGCUCGCAGGAAAUCCUACACAGUCGCCCAGGCACUUCAUGGUAGCAAGUGGAUGAAAGGACUUGAGAGAAUCAGCUCACACAAUGAUCUGCACUCCUUUCUGCUGCUAUGGGAGAAAAUUCAGAAUGUCGACUUGUCUGACGCCAGCGAUGCCAUCGAGUGGAUUUGGACGAAGGACAAGUCUUACUCUGCUAGCACGGCCUACUCCUGUCAAUUCACUGGCUCCAUCGCCAAACCUGAGCUUGACCUGAUCUGGAGGCUGAAGAUUGAGAGAAAGUUGCGUUUUUCCCUUUGGACAUUGGCUCAAAACAGACUCCCAACCACUGACAGGCUCCGUGCCCAUGGGGGUGACCAGAGUGCGACGUGUGCCCUCUGUCUUCAACAACCUGAAACAGCGCUCCACCUCUUCAACUCUUGCGUCUUUUCCAAGGUUGUUUGGUCCAAGCUAUGUUUGGCGCGGCCAGGAUGCUGCCCUACUCUGCCUGCUAAUCUUUCGUCGAUCUCUCAAUGGUGGAGGGCCUGCUCCCGGCAUACUAAAGAGCAUGCCGCGGCCGCUGCCUACUUCGCUUGGCAUAUUUGGAAUAAAAGGAACAGGAGGAUUUUCAAUGCCAAAUCAACCUCAGCGGACGGUGUGCUCUCGUUGAUCAAACAUGAUUUAGAUAUAUUGAGAGUAGCGUUUUAGUCUCCCCUUUUUGUACAGGCAGCGUCUACUGAUGACUGCUUAAUUCCUUGUAUAUUCCUAAUCUUUAAUGAAAAGGCAGAGCACCUGCCGUUCGAGUCAAAACAUAAAUAAAAAACCGUCCCGAACACAAGCAAGCAGCCCAGCCGUCAAGAGCUAUCUACGUAGCCAAGAACAUUCGUCGACACAGCUGUGGCGUAGUUCAUAGAUCAAUUGGGAGAGAGGAUGGUACCGCCAAGAUUCCACACUAAAGACCGUUGGAGUAUAAUGUCCGGUCCUCUUUCAUAUUUCAAACUUUUAGAUGAGCUGGGUGGAGUAUGAUAUCCGAACCAAGAGGUCUUAAAUUCAAGACCCCGUCAAAGCAGUAUAUUAAAAAAAGAUUCCCCGGCCUACAUCAAUCGAACGUCUAAGAAUUAAAAAUAAAGAACUAAAUUAGGCUAGAUGUGAGGGGGAUAAUGUUCGACCCUCUCCCAUAGUUUGGGCUUUUAAAUGAGUCGGCUGGAGCAUGAAUUCAAUAAAGACUCUCAGGCGUAAAUCUGGACAUCUAGUUCUAACUGACCGGUUCUUUGUUUUACUUUGUUGGAUAUGUUGGAUUUAUUCUUCCAAUUUUCAACUUGUCGAUGAUGGUGCCUAGCUUUCUCGAGCGACCGCACAAUGUGCGUCCUUUGCUUCAGAGGGAGUAAAUUGCAGAAAACCACCACUUCGAAGGCUAGGUUAGCAGAAAAUACUAUGCUACAUUUUGUUUUGCAGAAAACACCACGUCUUGUGUAAUUUUAUUGCAAAAAUCACUGAUCGACGGAUCUGACUCUGUUAAGUGAGUUUAUGAUAGGUGGGUCCCGUUUUUUGCCUACAUGGCGUAACCAGCGGUCCCGACCGCUGUUAGAGCGGUAGACGGCACCGUUCGGGCCAAAUCCAUUUCUCGUGGUCGUCGGCCUGAGCCGGGUGGGAUGGAUGUCGUGUGGUCAUCGGCUUGAGCCCGCCGCCUCGCCCGUGCUCUUUGAUGGGCUCUACGAGAGCCUGUCGAUGCCCGCGCGCAAUCACGUAGGAGGAGGCCAGCGGCAGCCGGCUCUGCACCAUCUCUAGCACGUCGCCCGAGAGCAACAUCAGGGACGACGUCGAUCCCUCCGCCACUGCAUCAUCCUCAACCUCCAGCACCUGACUGAGGCACGCGACGACGGCGGUGGUGUGCUUCUUCAGCCAGCCCGCACCAGAGGGAUGGGGAUGGGGCCCCUAGAUCUGGCGCCGGGCAGUGGGGGGAGACCGAGGCCACUCGGACCUCGCGCCGUCCUCCACUUCACCGCACUCAGUGAGGCCGCGUCCCCAUCCACAAGCGCGCUCUCGAAGCAGUGGUACGAGCUACGGUGCUCCUCGGGUGCCAUGAACCUGCGUGCGUCCCCGAGCCCAGGUUCGAGUUCAUGGGUGAGGAACAGAGCACGAACCACAUAUCGCUUUUCCUUUUCUUUUUUCUUCCAAUCUUCUAAUGACGUGUGGACCCCACACGACCACACAUGAUUAUCAUAACGUUCCUAGACGUUGUCGUUACAAGUGAGAUGUUAAGCGGUGCCACGAGGCCCCGACUGUCAUAAACAUGCUCAACCGAGCCUAAUCCGCCUAUCAGUGUUAUUUGCAAAAAGAUUACACUAGAUAUGGUGUUUUCUGCAAAAGAAUUGUAGUGUAGUGUAAUUUACUCCUCCAAAAAAAGACCAAGAUGGAAUUCAACCUAAAUUUGGAACAAUCGCCAUAGGAAUAUAAAUUGUAUGCAGCAACCAAGUAAAUGCAAAUAUAACAUUGAUAUGGUACGAUGAGUUCCUCAAAUCAAAUAAGUAAUGUGUUCGCUCUUCGCUGUCGCUGGUUGAUACUCGAUCCUGAAUAUUUUUGUCAUUUUUUCAGCCCCGAAAUUUUCACUAGCUCAGCUCUCAAUAGCUAAAAUUUCAUAGUAAUAUUUUGCGUAAGUAUUUUCUGGGUUGCCAGUUCCACUUGCUAUACUUACGCGAAAAUUUAGUCUUGCUCAUACUAAAAGUGUUUCUCACAAUCUUACUAACUGGUAAGUACACAGCUGAAAAAAAAGACCCCCCAACCCAGAAGAUUUUGUACUAAUGGUCAUUUUGCAAGAACGCUGAGAGGAUUUUGCAGUACGAAAAAUCCAAAACAAAAACGACCUAACAAAGAGGAAACCUAUAAACGAAAGGGAAAUGCUAGACACACGGACCCUUUACGGGGUUUUUACACGGUGGUUGAGGAUUGACUGGUUGAGAUUAAAUUAAAUGAGGCGGGCCCGCCAGUGAAACUCAAGGGGGGACAAUUAGAUGUGGGAACGCAAGGCUGCCCGUGAAAGUCCGUCGCCAGCGUCCGUGCGUGUAGUAUUAUUCUAGACGAAAAUCUGAAUCAAAUACAAUGAACAGUAUAAAAAAUUUACCAAUACCGAGCGGAGUGCUGUUUUCGCAAUGUUGCAGAGAAGAUUUUGCAACAAUGGUCAUUUUCGCAGUCUAGGGAAAUUUUCGAGCAGAGUAAUGAGUACGGUUAUUUACUAUGCAGAAGCUCAAGUCUCGAUAGAGGAUUUUCUAGCGGAGCCGGUUUAUACCAGUGUCCUACUAGCUAAUUAAAGUGUGCCAUGUGUUCAUCUACACAUACCAGAUACGAAGUAUUUCAUUCAUUUCCUUUAUCAUAGAGAAACACUUGCAAUAUACAGUCUGAUCAGAAGCAAUGAGUUAUUGAUUAGAAACACUUGCUUGCAUAUUGUCCCUGUAGAAAAUCAUUGUGUGCAUAAUUGUAAAUGCAAUGAUAUACAGGGGUGUAUUAGGUUUGAGCCCAGUUCAUAUGGUGGACCUGGGUUUUGGUCAUUUUAACUUGUCGGAUAUCUGGUUCAUC